GUUGGCUGUGCUUGAGUGUGUAAUUGAAUAGAAUUCUAAGUGCUGUGUAUUCUUUAUCUGUUUACAGUUUUACAAAAACAAACAAAAGAGAGAAAUAUUAAUGUUAACGUUAAUGGAGAAGAUUCAUGAAAACUACUGAAUGAUUAAAAGCCAUAAACCAAAAUCUCACUUGUUCACUGUCUGCCAACUGGAUAGAGAAGUACAUGUCUAGUGAGGACAGAACACUUACAGUUUCAACUAAAGGAAGGGGAUGUAGAUCAUUGUGAUAGAUGAUCUGUUCAGAAAUACAAUGUGAUUUGUAUGUUCUAAUGUGCUGCACAUUAAACAUGUGUUGGGCUUUUUAAAAGGUAUUACCACCCCCUGGGGGCGUAUGUACUAAAAACACAUGUGAGCCAUGUUCGUGGGUAAUGCGUUGUAUGUUGGACAAGAAUUCUGUUAAUAAAAAUAUGUUCACUUUGA
Long non-coding RNA from Tachysurus vachellii, 459 nucleotides. RefSeq lists it as uncharacterized. The transcript is spliced from 2 exons. The record is from RefSeq and is a predicted model, not a curated record. NCBI's taxonomy places the organism in Eukaryota, Metazoa, Chordata, Actinopteri, Siluriformes, Bagridae.